Nicotiana tabacum (common tobacco) is the source of this 929-nucleotide non-coding RNA. The record is from RefSeq and is a predicted model, not a curated record. Lineage: Eukaryota; Viridiplantae; Streptophyta; Magnoliopsida; Solanales; Solanaceae.
AAUUGGGAAAAAGUGUAACUAUAUAAAGUUUGGGGUUAAAAUAAAGUUUGGGGGCCAAAUGGCUAUUUUUGAAAGUUCCAAACGGUCAAAAUUGCAGCCCAACGGCUACUUUUAAUUUUUGACCGUUGCUAUUUUUUUUUAAAGUAGCCUUUAGGCUCGGUAAGACCGGCCCAGGCCCGCCAGCCGGUCCCGGGCUUAGCGGUCCCGAGCUCGUGGGCUAUUUUAUCAUACCCGGCCUGCCCCGGGCUUUUUGCACCAUUAAGAACCGGCCCACCAGGCCCGUUUAGCCCGUUAGGACCGCGGGCCCGGUCCCAGCCCGGCCCACCAUACAGCACUAGUUGCAACCUAGAGUUGUAGAGGAAUGCCUUUUCUUCCCAAGAAAGAUAGAAUAAGGUUAAUUCGGUCCUUAUAAUAUCCAAUGGUUAACUUGUGUUUAUCUGUAAUUAAUAUAGGGGUAUUAUUUUUCUUGGGCGUUGAAAUUUUGUAUAAUAGAAGGGAUAGUAGAGGGGAAUUUACAGCUGAGACAGAUAUAGACGUGUACAUAUAAGUUGCCCUAUACGACUAUGACUCCUUUGUAUGCUUUUUCUUCACCCUACAUAACAUGAUUUUACAAUUCUUGCUAUCAUUUCUAGCUUUAUUUGCAGCCUUAUCCGUAUCUGCACAUCCGUAACAAGGAGUUUCCAUGGGGUCCGGAUGGUCUUUUCGAGAAGAAGCAUCACUAAAACAUGUAUACUUACCCAUGAAGGCUUAAAAAAAGUUGAACCUACUGCAUCGUCAAAGUUGUAUGAAAUGUGUUUGUAUUUGCUUCAGAUGUCUUGUGUUGAUACUUAACCAUAUCUCUGAUGUACUCUGUGGUUUUCUGUAUUGUGCUGUCUACUAUGUUUCGACAGUGUGCUAUCUACAAAAUAAGAAUGAGGAGAUUGUUUGCA